UACGUAGGGUGCGAGCGUUAAUCGGAAUUACUGGGCGUAAAGCGUGCGCAGGCGGUUCGUUGUGUCGGUGGUGAAAGCCCCGGGCUUAACCUGGGAAUGGCCAUGGAUACUGUCGUGCUAGAGUGCGGAAGGGGCUACUGGAAUUCUCGGUGUAGCGGCGAAAUGCGCAGAUAUCAGGAGGAACACCAACAGCGAAGGCAGCACUCUGGGCCGGUACUGACGCUGAGGAGCGAAAGCAUGGGGAGCGAACAGG
This 253-nucleotide ribosomal RNA is filed under the name uncultured bacterium. Its description in RNAcentral is "partial 16S ribosomal RNA". It matches the Rfam family "Bacterial small subunit ribosomal RNA", at positions 524 to 776 of the family's 1533-position model. The record is from RNAcentral.